AAUUUUUUAUUCAAUUAUGAUUUUGAAUUGCAAGUUCGAAGGUAACAGUUUAACUAGUUAAAAAUUU
RNAcentral lists this transfer RNA (67 nucleotides) under Bactericera cockerelli (potato/tomato psyllid). Its description in RNAcentral is "tRNA-Cys". The record is from RNAcentral. Lineage: Eukaryota; Metazoa; Arthropoda; Insecta; Hemiptera; Triozidae.